UACGUAGGGUGCAGGCGUUAUUCGGAUUCACUGGGCGUAAAGGGUGCGCAGGCGGUUGGGUGUGUCAGAUGUGAAAUCCCGAGGCUCAACCUCGGAACUGCGUCUGAAACUACUCGACUAGAGUACUGGAGAGGGUAACGGAAUUCACGGUGUAGCAGUGAAAUGCGUAGAUAUCGUGAGGAACACCAGUGGCGAAGGCGGCCUGCUGGGCAGUUGCUGACGCUGAGGCGCGACAGCGUGGGGAGCAAACAGG
RNAcentral lists this ribosomal RNA (253 nucleotides) under uncultured bacterium. RNAcentral's name for it is "partial 16S ribosomal RNA". It matches the Rfam family "Bacterial small subunit ribosomal RNA", at positions 524 to 776 of the family's 1533-position model. The record is from RNAcentral.